UAGGGAAUCUUCGGCAAUGGGGGGAACCCUGACCGAGCAACGCCGCGUGAGUGAAGAAGGUUUUCGGAUCGUAAAGCUCUGUUGUUAAGGAAGAACGAGUGUGAGAAUGGAAAGUUCAUACUGUGACGGUACUUAACCAGAAAGGGACGGCUAAAUACGUGCCAGCAGCCGCGGUAAUACGCAUGGAGCGAGCGUUGUCCGGAAUUAUUGGGCGUAAAGGGUACGCAGGCGGUUUAAUAAGUCGAAUGUUAAAGAUCGGGGCUCAACCCCGUAAAGCAUUGGAAACUGAUAAACUUGAGUAGUGGAGAGGAAAGUGGAAUUCCUAGUGUAGUGGUGAAAUACGUAGAUAUUAGGAGGAAUACCAGUAGCGAAGGCGACUUUCUGGACACAAACUGACGCUGAGGUACGAAAGCGUGGGGAGCAAACAGG
This 429-nucleotide ribosomal RNA is filed under the name Bacteroidota bacterium. RNAcentral's name for it is "Bacteroidetes bacterium partial 16S ribosomal RNA". It matches the Rfam family "Bacterial small subunit ribosomal RNA", at positions 355 to 776 of the family's 1533-position model. The record is from RNAcentral. Lineage: Bacteria; Pseudomonadati; Bacteroidota.